AUGGCGAUUGACUGGUGGCGUGGCGCCGGUGCGGUGGCCGUGCGUCGAAGGUUUUCGCUAGUGGUGGCUGCGGAGCGUGUAGGAGUUCAGUUCUUGGGAGAGACAAAUUUUGGGCGAAAGCUCUGCCUUCGGGCCGGCAACAACGACGCCUGUGGGUGCCGUCGUCGCCCCAUCACGUGCGAUGGCUGCGGUGUUUUCACGUGGUUUCCGUCAUCCGGUGCUGUCGUCGCCCAGAGCUUGCUGCUCGUGGUGCUUGAUGACAACCCGUUGGCGUGGUGGCGGCGAUUUCACUGGUGCCUGUUCGAGAGCUCCCAAUGCUUAGGUUCCAUUGGUCAAGAUUCGCAUGAUUUCUCUUCCCCUUCCCCGUACGUCGAUCCAAGAAGACAGCAGUUCAUAUGCCACCAUUCGAGUUUUUUAGUGGGUUUGGGGAUCUGGAUUAGGGCUCCUUCUUUCUAUAUGUUUCCUACCAGCUUGUUCCAUGCAGGGUUUGUUGUUCGGGUUGAGCUCACGCUCCUCAGAUUUAACGAUGAACUCCGUGGACACCACUUGCUGAGUCCGGUGUUGCUUACUCCAAAAUAUACGGCUCAGCAGCAGACCUCCGUUUUGCGCAGUCUUUGUAGAGUCCACCGAAUGGGGAUUACCGGUUUGUCAAGCGGGCUGCACGCUGAAGGAGGCCCAAGGUUGCAUUCGUCGCGGCAUUUCCGCAGCUCCCUGUCGAUGUGCACCUUAUUUGCUGUGUGGUUUCAUUAUGAAGUUUGUAGCCUUAGUGCAGGUUUCCAUUCUUUAGAAACGGAUGGUUUUAUGCUCUUUCUUUAUCUAUUUGGCAAUGUACUGGGAUUUAUUCCCGUGAACUCUGUCGGUUUAUAUUAAUGGAUGUUUA
This 880-nucleotide long non-coding RNA is filed under the name Oryza sativa Indica Group (long-grained rice). RNAcentral describes it as "lncRNA OsMH63_02G025120". Lineage: Eukaryota; Viridiplantae; Streptophyta; Magnoliopsida; Poales; Poaceae. The record is from RNAcentral.